AGGGGGCUGGGCAGAGUAACUCAGUGGUAGAACACUUGCCUGGCAUGCUCCUACUCUGGUUAAAGCACCCUGUAUAGUACUGAUUUUUUUGAAUACUGUCUCUGAGAUAUUUUCCUAAAUGCACAGGUAAAAUGAUCCACUAUGGUUUGCAGCUAGUGUCAAUUUUUAUAUUCAAGCCAAGUCUGGAGCCAGUAUCACUCAGCCUUGGCCAGGAACUUUCACUCUUCCAUAUAUCCCACCCACUCAGCCCAGGGGGCCUCUACUGCUCCAUGCUAAGCUGAGUGUAGCUCUCCACUGCAGGCUGUUACCCCACCUGUAUGGCUUUUUCCUACUAUUCACUUUAGGCGUGGUAGACAAUUCAGCUCUACAAGGGCUGACCAGAGUAACAGGUUGAAGAGCUGGACUUACACAAAGAAGCAAAGGGAGGGUAAAUCAUGAGGCUGAAACACUAGCUUUAUGGAGCCUCAGAGUGUUUUCAAGCAAGUGGUUGACAAGACAGAGGAUAAAGACGAGCAGGUAACUGGAGAUUGAUGGAAGCUAUGCAACACUAUUAAGAGUGUAUGAAAUGUCACUGUGGCCUGGGAGGAUGACCUGUAGUUGGAAGCAACUGGGUCCCAAAAUAAUGCAGGACUCAGAGGAACCAAAGGACCCAGGAGAGCAAUCAUGAAGGCACAUCCCAGAAACACACUUCAGCUGCUCCUUGGUGAGCCAGUUCAGUCAGAAUUUUCGGGAAUAUCUGGCUUGCUUGUCAUAUGAAGUUCUUAGAUUUCUUACAACUUAGAAGCAUCUAAGCAUCCUGUUCCAGGAACAGCAAGACAACCCUGGAAAGGUUUCCCUGCUACCUUCUUAUCCAAAUUACCUUUGCAACAAGAAAAAAAUGAAAUGGGCAGAACACUUGGCACCACUGUAACACUCAACCCACAAUAAUUCUCCUUUCUCUAAAAUCACCUCAGGGCUCUCAGAAAGGGGAUCAGGCCAAACCCACAUCUCUUCCAUGUGUUCUCUGGACCCAUACUGGCUAGACUGAAAUAUGGCCUCUUCACCAGCACCUAAUGUAGCAUCCCAGCACUUAAUAAAUAUUUAGCACUAUCAAAUGUACUUUCAGGAAACAGCUUGGAAAUGAUUGCCUCAUUUUUAAGCAGCUGCUUGAGAAUUGUGCAUUUUGCAAAAGCUAAAUGCACU
RNAcentral lists this long non-coding RNA (1182 nucleotides) under Marmota monax (woodchuck). Lineage: Eukaryota; Metazoa; Chordata; Mammalia; Rodentia; Sciuridae. The record is from RNAcentral.